Molecule: ribosomal RNA, 389 nt
Filed under: Leptocylindrus sp.
Lineage: Eukaryota; Bacillariophyta; Leptocylindrophyceae; Leptocylindrales; Leptocylindraceae
Description: partial small subunit ribosomal RNA
Rfam family: Eukaryotic small subunit ribosomal RNA
Source: RNAcentral
AUUCCAGCUCCAAUAGCGUACAUUAAAGUUGUUGCAGUUAAAAAGCUCGUAGUUGGAUUUCUGGUGUCGCAGUGCUUCCGCGUGUUUAAUUACAUGUCGAGUUGUGUUUGCGUCGCCAUCUUUUAGCAGCACCUUCCUGGCAUUAGGUUGUUGGGUUGGUAAUGCUAAUCGUUUACUGUGAAGAAAUCAGAGUGUUUCAGGCAGGCUUUCGCUUGAAUACACCAGCGUGGAAUAAUGGAAUAGGACUGAGUCUCUUUAUUGGUUCAAAAGAUUCAGUAAUGAUUAAUAGGGACAGUUGGGGGCAUUCAUACUAAUGAGUCAGAGGUGAAAUUCUUCGAUUUCAUUAAGAUGAACUAAUGCGAAGGCAUUUGCCAAGGAUGUUUUCAUCA